This 346-nucleotide ribosomal RNA is filed under the name Vibrio rotiferianus. Its description in RNAcentral is "bacterial SSU rRNA". It matches the Rfam family "Bacterial small subunit ribosomal RNA", at positions 161 to 502 of the family's 1533-position model. Lineage: Bacteria; Pseudomonadati; Pseudomonadota; Gammaproteobacteria; Vibrionales; Vibrionaceae. The record is from RNAcentral.
GGCUAAUACCGCAUAAUACCUUCGGGUCAAAGAGGGGGACCUUCGGGCCUCUCGCGUCAGGAUAUGCCUAGGUGGGAUUAGCUAGUUGGUGAGGUAAUGGCUCACCAAGGCGACGAUCCCUAGCUGGUCUGAGAGGAUGAUCAGCCACACUGGAACUGAGACACGGUCCAGACUCCUACGGGAGGCAGCAGUGGGGAAUAUUGCACAAUGGGCGCAAGCCUGAUGCAGCCAUGCCGCGUGUGUGAAGAAGGCCUUCGGGUUGUAAAGCACUUUCAGUCGUGAGGAAGGUAGUGUAGUUAAUAGCUGCAUUAUUUGACGUUAGCGACAGAAGAAGCACCGGCUAACU